This 440-nucleotide ribosomal RNA is filed under the name uncultured bacterium. RNAcentral describes it as "partial 16S ribosomal RNA". It matches the Rfam family "Bacterial small subunit ribosomal RNA", at positions 338 to 795 of the family's 1533-position model. The record is from RNAcentral.
CCUACGGGAGGCAGCAGUGGGGAAUAUUGCACAAUGGGGGAAACCCUGAUGCAGCGACGCCGCGUGAGUGAAGAAGUAUUUCGGUACGUAAAGCUCUAUCAGCAGGGAAGAAAAUGACGGUACCUGACUAAGAAGCCCCGGCUAACUACGUGCCAGCAGCCGCGGUAAUACGUAGGGGGCAAGCGUUAUCCGGAUUUACUGGGUGUAAAGGGAGCGUAGACGGCAGCGCAAGUCUGGAGUGAAAUCCCAUGGCUUAACCAUGGAACUGCUUUGGAAACUGUGCAGCUAGAGUGCAGGAGAGGUAAGCGGAAUUCCUGGUGUAGCGGUGAAAUGCGUAGAUAUUAGGAGGAACACCAGUGGCGAAGGCGGCUUACUGGACUGUAACUGACGUUGAGGCUCGAAAGCGUGGGGAGCAAACAGGAUUAGAUACACCAGUAGUC